UUGAGUUUUAAUUGUUCCUCUGUAAAAGGUUCGGGCGCCUAGCCAGAGGUUUGCGUCUGAUUAGCUAGUUUUUUGGGUAAUGGCUUACCAAGGUGAUGAUCAGUAGCUGGUCUGAGAGGACCACCAGCCAGACGGGGACUGAGACACGGCCCUGACUCCUACGGGAGGCUGCAGCAAGGAAUUUUGCGCAAUGGGGGAAAGCCUGACGCAGCGACUCCGACGUGGGGGACGAAGACCUUCGGGUUGUAAACCCCUUUUCCUGGGGAAGAAUUAUGACGGUACCCAGGGAAUAAGUCUUGGCUAACUACGUGCCAG
This 315-nucleotide ribosomal RNA is filed under the name uncultured prokaryote. RNAcentral describes it as "bacterial SSU rRNA". It matches the Rfam family "Bacterial small subunit ribosomal RNA", at positions 179 to 511 of the family's 1533-position model. The record is from RNAcentral.